RNAcentral lists this ribosomal RNA (253 nucleotides) under uncultured bacterium. Its description in RNAcentral is "partial 16S ribosomal RNA". It matches the Rfam family "Bacterial small subunit ribosomal RNA", at positions 524 to 776 of the family's 1533-position model. The record is from RNAcentral.
UACGUAGGGCGCAAGCGUUGUCCGGAAUUAUUGGGCGUAAAGAGCUCGUAGGCGGUCUGUCGCGUCGGAUGUGAAAGCCCGGGGCUUAACCCCGGGUCUGCAUUCGAUACGGGCAGACUAGAGUGUGGUAGGGGAGAUCGGAAUUCCUGGUGUAGCGGUGAAAUGCGCAGAUAUCAGGAGGAACACCGGUGGCGAAGGCGGUUCUCUGGGCCUUACCUGACGCUGAGGAGCGAAAGCGUGGGGAGCAAACAGG